RNAcentral lists this ribosomal RNA (253 nucleotides) under uncultured bacterium. RNAcentral describes it as "partial 16S ribosomal RNA". It matches the Rfam family "Bacterial small subunit ribosomal RNA", at positions 524 to 776 of the family's 1533-position model. The record is from RNAcentral.
UACGUAGGGUGCAAGCGUUGUCCGGAAUCAUUGGGCGUAAAGCGCGCGUGGGUGGCUUCGUAAGUCCGUUGUGAAAGUCAAAGGCUCAACCUUUGAAUGCCGAUGGAUACUGCGAAGCUAGAGUACGGAAGAGGCGAGUGGAAUUCCUGGUGUAGCGGUGGAAUGCGCAGAUAUCAGGAGGAACACCAAUAGCGAAGGCAGCUCGCUGGGACGUUACUGACACUAAGGCGCGAAAGCGUGGGGAGCGAACAGG